GACGAACGCUGGCGGUGUGCUUAACACAUGCAAGUCGAACGGUAAGGCCCUUUCGGGGGUACACGAGUGGCGAACGGGUGAGUAACACGUGAGUAACCUGCCCUCAUCUCUGGGAUAACAGUCGGAAACGGUUGCUAAUACUGGAUAUGAGCUUGCAAGGCAUCUUGUGGGUUGGAAAGAUUUUUUUGGUUGGGGAUGGACUCGCGGCCUAUCAGCUUGUUGGUGAGGUAGUGGCUCACCAAGGCUUCGACGGGUAGCCGGCCUGAGAGGGCGACCGGCCACAUUGGGACUGAGAUACGGCCCAAACUCCUACGGGAGGCGGCAGUGGGGAAUAUUGCACAAUGGACGGAAGUCUGAUGCAGCAACGCCGCGUGCGGGAUGACGGCCUUCGGGUUGUAAACCGCUUUCAAUUGUGACGAAGCUUUUUGUGACGGUAGCAGUAGAAGAAGCACCGGCUAACUACGUG
Molecule: ribosomal RNA, 466 nt
Filed under: uncultured bacterium
Lineage: Bacteria
Description: partial 16S ribosomal RNA
Rfam family: Bacterial small subunit ribosomal RNA
Source: RNAcentral